RNAcentral lists this small RNA (509 nucleotides) under Arabidopsis thaliana (thale cress). Its description in RNAcentral is "ATSL241280". The record is from RNAcentral. Lineage: Eukaryota; Viridiplantae; Streptophyta; Magnoliopsida; Brassicales; Brassicaceae.
AGUUCUAGAAGAACACAUGAAGUCCAUCUCUGAAACACUUAGUCUGAUCAACUUAAGUACCCGUACAUGAUCUCCCAAUACUUAGCCUCGGUAACAAAGUGAACUUUACGCUCCUCCCAGUAAUCUGUCUUCUCUUUCAAACCCCAAACCUUACCCUCAUCAGCCUCACCCUCAGCCUCAGCUUCUUUCUCCUUUGCCCAAAUUUCAAUCUCUUCUUCUGACAUCAUCUGUGCAAUCUCAACGUCAGAAUCUUCUUCACUCUGCUUCUUCAUCUCCCACUUCUUGAACCAGUACUCGGACUCAUUCUUCAUUGCUACCGUCCUCUUCACGAACUCGAGGCGUUUAGCCUCCUGGAUCUUGUUUCCAGAUUCACCGCAGUGUGUGGUGAGGGCGGAGACAAAUAAGCAUUCUACAUGAAAUUGGAAUACAUUAUUAACUUAGUGACAUGAAGUUGUUAAAAUUUACAUGAAAUGUUACAUAACAAAAACAAAACUCUCAUAAAUGAAAAA